This 446-nucleotide ribosomal RNA is filed under the name uncultured bacterium. Its description in RNAcentral is "bacterial SSU rRNA". It matches the Rfam family "Bacterial small subunit ribosomal RNA", at positions 330 to 793 of the family's 1533-position model. The record is from RNAcentral.
CCCAGACUCCUACGGGAGGCAGCAGUGGGGGAUAUUGCACAAUGGGGGAAACCCUGAUGCAGCAACGCCGCGUGAGUGAAGAAGUAUUUCGGUAUGUAAAGCUCUAUCAGCAGGGAAGAGAAUGACGGUACCUGACUAAGAAGCCCCGGCUAACUACGUGCCAGCAGCCGCGGUAAUACGUAGGGGGCGAGCGUUAUCCGGAUUUACUGGGUGUAAAGGGAGCGUAGACGGCUGGUCAAGUCUGAAGUGAAAGCCCGGGGCUUAACCCCGGAACGGCUUUGGAAACUGAGCAGCUAGAGUGCUGGAGAGGUAAGCGGAAUUCCUAGUGUAGCGGUGAAAUGCGUAGAUAUUAGGAGGAACACCAGUGGCGAAGGCGGCUUACUGGACAGUAACUGACGUUGAGGCUCGAAAGCGUGGGGAGCAAACAGGAUUAGAUACCCUAGUAA